AUGCAAGGCAACUCCUUGAGAGUGCAAUACUAGAUCAACAAUAUGUCUAAAUAUAUGCAAGCACACAACUUCAUUCAUUUUAUGCUGCUGUGCAUCCAACCAAGUUUUGGGGUUUUCUUGCAUAUGCAGCAACAAAUCUUCUUAUAUAUAUUUUUUCCUCUUUAUUUUUAAUUUGACUUAAAAAUCAUUUUAUAUUGAGCCACAUCAACGUAAUCAAACAGCGUUAAGUACCACUUGAUCACAAAGUGAAUCUUAAACCUUUAAGUGAAAUCCUGAAGUGAAAAUGAGCAAACAAUAUAAUUCUUCUUUAUAAUUUCCCUUUCAUUCUAAUUUACAAGGACCAAUAAGCGCCAACUUCAAGCGAAGAUAUCCAGAGAAGCACCCCAUUCAAGGGUACAUUUUUUCACAGAAAAUUCACGUCAUAAUCAGACAGUAACAUACAAUGAAUCAGUGCCAUUUCAGAGUAAGAAUCUCAAGAAUGCUAAACAAAAAGUUCAGAAAUUCCACCCAUCUUCAACACUUUCCUGGCAACACAUAAUAAUGAUGAUGAUGAUGUAAUAAAGAGGGGAAAAAAAAAACAUUUUGAUGGAACCUGAGCACGCAACCAGAUAAAUGCAGCAUUAAACAGGAGCUCCCACCGUGUCCAUGAGAGGUUCUCCAUUUGUUUUACUAGCACGAGGUAAUGCUUAGACAAGCAUUAUCAUGGAAUUAUCAGAAACUGAGUUUCCAAAUAACUGGGGUGAUACUGAUACAACAGAGAAUAUCCAAAAAGCAAAGCAAUAGGAAUAUAAGCACGGAAAAAAAAGGAGCGGGGGGUGGGUGGUUGGGGCGGGGAGGGGGAAGGGGGAAGGGGGGUGGGGUGUAAGAGUUCUAACAUAACUUUCUUUUUAACAAAGUAAAUCCUGCCUUGUAGAUAAUUACCACUGGUUAAAUUAGUAAUGGCUCAUCUAAUGGUAAAAGAAACAAGCAUAUCACGUUAAAAACCUUGAAGCAAAAGAAAAUGCUUGAAUGAGCAUGCUUCAAUAAUGCCGAGGCUAAACUGCUGGUGACUUUCAGCAUAUGGACAAGAGCAUUCUACCUCCACUGUGGUUUACAGAGAAAUUCAUUACAUGACAUGCAGGUGGAUGAACCAUAAAUGAUAAUAAACAAGCAACUGAGAUUCUGUAACUGAAGCUCAUAUUUGUCAACUGUAGCAACUACAACUCUACAAGGGUCAGCUUAAACUGAUAUACAAUGUACUAAGCGAACCUACUGAGAUUUUAGAAUAGCCUCAACCCUCUACAUCUGGGCCCAAAACACACCAAAAAUUAUCCGAGUAAAAGAUGCAGCAGACAACCAGAAGAAUUAGCAAUCUUGUUACCUUCUUCAGCAUCCCAUUAACGUAUGCAUGUGUGAGAGCAUCAGCAGUAGAGUAGAAGCUGCACUGCAUCUGCCUCAGUUUUUCAACAUCUGCUCUCUCCUAUCAAGAAAUUGAAUUAGAAAAUAAAUAAUAUACCAAAUAGAUAAUGAAGUAAAAUAAAUUGGAUUAUGUCACCCACAAAAAGAUAAUAGUUUCAUAGUUCAUGUGCCAAAAUUUACAAGCCCAAUAAUAAAGAUAAUUUUCAGUAUCUGAUGAUAAUUUUCAGUAUCUGAUUGUGCACCGACAGAGGGGGUAUAUCAAGUUUUGAGGGCAGCCAAUUUACAAAAAAUGCUAGAAGGCAGCGAACUUCUCCAAAUUCUCCUAUCUGAGACCACUUCAUAGGGCUGUAGCUUGGUAUUGACCUUGAACCCCAAUUAGAAACAGCUCAAACAGACAGCUGGAUUAGAUCAAUUUAAUGAAAUACACAAGUUUCAGUGACAAUUCUGCGUUAUAACUUCCAGAUGAGGAGUUUGUGGCCUUGGGCAAAUGACAAGUUUUUCAAACAUUACUAAGUGUAAAUGUUGACAAAAGAAAACCCCAUAUACACACAUUGCAUCCUACAUAACUGGUCAAGAGACUUGCUAUUCCAAAUAGCCAGAAUACAUCCCAUUGGUUCCAUUUUUUUCUAAUCUAUCACUACCUUCUCCAGAUUUCCCUCCACUCUUUCACAUAUUCAACUAUAAACUUCAAAAGCCAUGAAAACUUAACUAAGUCACACUUUUGCCCAGCAUUUGGCCCUCAGCCCAGAAUGUGGGAGACCUCAUGUACUGGGAUAAUGUUUAUGCUAUUGCUCAGUGAUCCAGUGAGCUACAAGCAUGCCAUCUAUAUAACAAACAAACAAAUCAAGAAAACCAGUGACAGUGAAUUUGAAAUUUUCUUCCAAGUGAAGUAACCCACCAAAAUUUUUAUGUCAGAUCCGCUUCUUCAAUACUGCAAAAAAAGUGUUGCAUCUUCCUCACCUUGGAGUGCAUUCAUUGGUUGACUUUUAAAUGGUACAGAUAUGGUAUAGUUGAGCUGGUAAUUUACAAGUACUGAACCAAAAAUGUUGAACUUUGGAGCACUACCAUAUGCAGCUUCUGCAUCAGAACACUUCUUGAAAACAACUCUGGCACGAUUGGUAUCCUUAUCUACUUCUGUCUCUGACUCUUUCAAAGGCCCAAACCGCCUAAACAUCUUAUUCAGGCUUAUUUCUGAAGGAACACAAUCCACCACAGGAAAAUGCAUAACAAGUUCUGCUGGUGCAUUCUCAUCUACGUAACUCACUGGUUUCUCUGCUGAUAGACCAUAAUUGCCAUCAGAAUACCGCUUUCUAGAGUUUGACUUAUUAAGGGCCUUGUCCUGGUCCAUAGAAACAAGUUGAUUAUCCCGUUUUCUACUUUUACGUGGUGGUUGCUCUUCAGAACCAUUUUGAAUAACCCGGUCGGUCCAAUAAGUGUCAUUCAUAUCCUCAAAUUCGAAUGUCUCAGGAGAACAAAAAAUGGAAUGAGAUGCUUGUCUCCUUUUACAACCUACUUUCUCAUGCUGUUCCAUAAUCACUGAGUUCCUAAAAUCAGAGAAAAAACUAAUAAUGAUGCUCAAGAAACUAUAUCCUUUAAAGGGAUCUCGUGCCACCAAGUGAAGUUGUGAUAGUAAUUCAUCCAAUGAUGAGUAUUCUGUAGGAACAAUUGCUCUCCUCAUCUCAGCAUCCUCAGAAUGUUCAAACAAAACAUCAGAUCCAUCCCCAACAAGUCCAUCGCUGCUUCCAUCUUGCUUCAUGUUGUUAGACUUCAAUAUGCAGGUGGACCCAGUCAUCUGGCUAGCGACUCUACGGAUACAUUCACCAAUCUUGAAUGAAGGCUUAGGAAAUGAAGGUGCACUAGUAGAGACCUUUGCAAGAGAGAGAGUUUUCCUCCCUUCUGCUGUGGCUAAGUCAUCAGGAAAGGAAUCAAAGACCUUCCGCUUCUUCCCAGAAGAUGGUGAAACUAAUUUAUUGUUAGCUUUCCCAUCAGGACCAAUUUCAUCAUCUACACAUUCCCAUGAAUCACCCAUUAAUUCAGACAAGCUUCUUUCUUUCUUCCUAGGAUAGACAGUAUCUUUCAAAUUAUGUUUGCGCUUGUGGUAAGAACUUCUUUGGGCAUGUACAAUCUCCUGACCAGAUGAAAUUUUUCCAUCAUCCUUACAAAAAGGAUAUGUGGGCUCUAUCACUUCAUCUGUAAAUUCUAAUGUGCCUGCAUUCUCUAACAACCCUCCACAAAACUGGAAUUCAGGCAACUGAGAAUAACCCUUUAAGCGAUAAAAGGCCAGUAAUUGGGACCUGGCAAUGACAAGUUCAAGUCGAUCAGCUCCACCAGCUGGACAUUGUGCUAAUGCUUUCAUAUACUCUACUAAUUUACCAGGUUCAAAUAAAUCAGCAACCAAGGAUUUGUCCACACCAUCUCUUACACUUGCUUCUUGUCGGAUUCCAGUGUUUUCUACUAUCUGAAAUUUAAGUUUAUCGUAAGUAUCCUUUGGUAUGCAUGAGCACGCCAGCCCAUACUCUACACGUCUUGAAACUUCUUCUAAAGCACAAUCAACGGCAUUCUGGAACGUUUCAGAAUUGCUCUGCUUCUCAACCUGGGAGAAAUGAGACCUGAAAGGCUUUAGCAGAGAUGCCUCAUUCCAUGCAAAUGUCCGAUCCCCAAAAUAUGCUACCAAAAAACAGUCCUUUUUAUGAUACUUCACUGCUUUCUCAGAGGCAGCUGAAGGGUCAAAUAUCUGCCCAGGCCACCAUGGAUGGCUCCUCACUUUGCCCCAGACCAAAUCAGAUACAGUGAACUCACCUUCGACAUCUGGUGGUAUCUUAUAACUAGCUUGAUGUUCUAUUACACUGCUUCUGGAAUUUAGAGCUACUUCUUUAGCAGAUUUCUCUUCAGUGGUAUUUAGCAGUUCCGAGUCAGCAUCCUGUUCUUCAGCUUCCAUUUCUUGCCCUUCUUGCAACCCAACCUGAUCAAUAAAAGCAUCAUGCUCUUCAACCACUGUUUCUGUUGCUGCACUUGAUUCAAUCUCAGAAACAUCACUAUCUGCACUCUCAUCCAAAUCUUCUUCAACCGUCAGAUUCUGAUUCCCUUCAGGUGGCCCCUCAAGUCCAGUACCGGCAUUCAAAGUCACAUCAUUGUCUGCUAUAGCAGUUUGCUCUCCAUCAAUUAAUAAGGUAUCUUGUUCUCUGCUUGCACAAACUGUUUCAGCCUCUGAGUUCUGUUCUACUACCUUCAUCUCUUCUCUUCCAAGCUGUUCAACACAAGCAGCCUGUUCUUGAACAUCAAUCAGCUGCCCCAUAUUUGGAUCAUCCUGAUCAGGAUCACAAGCUGCACUCUUGUCUAUGCAUUCUUUCACCUUCCACUCAUGGUCUUUUUCAGCAGGAUCCGAAACAUUGACAGUUGAAUUAACCUUAUCCUUGUCAGUUGAAGUAGUGUGAGUAUCUAUUUCCAUAGAGUCUGUCUCAGUCUUUAUAUGCUGUUCGUUUCCCGAUGAUGAUAACAUCCCAUCCAAAUGCAUAUCAACAGGACCCCCAAAAUUUGCGUCUGAACGAACCUUGUCAGCCAUUUCUGCAAUUUCAUCACCAACUGCAGGUGCUGACUGACGACAUGUUAUGAAGUCUAAAUCUUUGGUGCAGUGAGUUUCAGCGUUCUUAUUUGCGGUCUCAACCUUGCCUUGUUCUUUCAGCAUACUAGCUUGUUCAGCACCAGCAACUUUUUCAUCAUCUCCCAUCUCUGCAUCUACGGUUGAACCAACAUGAGCAGAAUCAUGAGGCAUACUCUGGUCUGACCACUCUUCAAUUACUAAUUUUUUUUCAUCUUCAGAAUUCAGAAGCACCAUGUUCUCAGAUGCUCCAACUUCACCUCCAACAACUACUUGAGUUGGCUGUUGUGAAGAUUGCAAAUCUGCAAAUGCAUCAUAGUGAUUUUCAGUGCUUCCAUUGGCAGUCUCAACUGUAGCCUGCAGUUCUUCCACUGAAAAACAAAAAUUUUCAUUAAAAGCGUCAGUGUCCAUACCUUCAAUGUUAGGAUAUGUAAUCUCCUCAUUGUCCAUUGAUGCAACUUCCUCAUCAAUUUGUCCAUCAAAGCAUUUGGAGGUUGCAUUGGUAAUGGCAUCUUUUUCUAUUGCAACUGAAUCUUUCUCAGAACUGGAUAUAACCCCCUCCACAGAAUCACUACCAUGUGCCCCAUCAAAAACUGUUUCAAUUUUGGGAUUUAAAUUUCCAUCAUCAACCAUCACCACAGCUUCCUCCUCAAUACCUUGGUUCUCUACAUUUGAACCUUCCUUGAUGAUUGAAGAAGGUGCUCCUGCAGUUUUAGUUCCAGGAUUCGACACCUCAUCAUGCAAAACACAGACCUUUUGUGUUUCUGAAUCCUGAAGCGAAGCCCCCUCGUUCUCAUUUGUUUCGUUAGCCUGAUCCAUAGCCUCCUCAACCACUUCAGAUUUCUCGACUGCAAUAGCUUGGGUAUCAACUACAGAAGAACCGAAAACUGCUGGGGAACCUCCAACAUUUUCAACUCCUUGAUUACCUACUUCAUUAUCUGAAACCCCAACUUCCUGAGAAUUCACAUCCUUAACGACAUCCAUCCCAACUUUCUCAAUACACUCCUUCUCCAAUCCUCCCUCCAAACGUUCCUUCCCUGUAACUACUGCCACUUUCUCAACUGCAACUUGGGUUUCCCCACCAGUGGAUCCUUCAACAAGAGAAGAAACUUCAACUGCACUCUUGAUUCCCACAUUCUGAGCAUUCCCAGCCCCAGCUUCCUGCAAAGUAUUAUAAUCAGCAACAUAAGAGCCAUCAACAUCAAUGACCUCUCUAACUCCCUCCACCAAUACACCUUCUUCUUUAGAUUCUGCAGCGCCAGAACACUUUCCAAUCUCACUGUCAGUUCCCAAAUUUACCUCCAUAACUCUUGUACCACCCUCCAAAAAUUCUCCUUCUUCUUUUGAUUCUGCAAUCCCAGAAGAUUUUCCAACAUCGGUCUCCACUCCCAAGUUUACGUCCCUAACUCUUGGUAUAUUCUCCACCAAUUCUCCUUCUUCCUUGGAUUCAGCAACCCCAGAAGAAUUUCCAACCUCAGUCACCAAUCCCAAGUUUACCUCCCUAACUCUUGCCACAUCCUCCACCAAUUCUCCUUCUUUAGAUUCAGCAACCCCAGAAGACUGUCCUACCUCACUCUCAGUUCCCAAAUUUGAUGCCUCAACACAUGGAUCCAUAAUGGCCUUGGAACCAGAGUCACCAACCCCACCACCUAAAGUUUUGACAUCUCCCUCUGAGCCCAACUCUCUUGACCCACCACGACUUUUAGUUGCUUCCUCACUCAAAUUUCGCCCACCACCACCACCAAAAUCACGUAUGAAAACACCAUCAACGUUAAUAUCAGAACCCCUAACCCCAACCAUUAUAUUCACCCCAAUACAAGACCCACCAUCCUCUGUCACCACCCCUUCAGUUGAGGAUCCCUUAGUCACACACUGACCUUGAACCUGAACGUCACAAGCAUCUGGCUCAAAAACUUGGGUUUCCUCACUAUCUCCACUGGCUUUGCGAUCACUUAUAGUCUCUUUAGACGAUUCCAAAACAGUACAACUAGAAACAUCCUUAUCUUCAUGUUUGCCCAUGGAAAAUAAUAUCUGGAGACGUGAUUCAACAAAUCUUCAGCAAGUGUAAACAGGUUUUGAAAUGGCAGGCAAGAGUAUCAGAUUUCAAUAGAUUUUAAUAUUUUUAUCUUCUUCAUGCAGAUCAUCAAUUGAUCGGAACUUUCCUUCAAAUCCCCCGUUAAAUCAACAAAAGUAAUGGCUUCUUUACCCGCCAGCAGUGACAGAAAGUCUGGGUUUUUUGCAAAUCACUGGCAAUGGAGGUGGGAAGCUUUUGCAACCGCUAGUUGUUCUUUGUCCUUUCAAAUCUUCCCUUUUCUAGUAGAAAGAACUCAAUGAAGGCAAACUGAUAGUAAAGGAGGAUGAUUAAUCGUUUUCGCAGUGGUAGAUUGAUGCAAUUCUGUUUGGAUUUCUGGGUUUCUCUCCUAAACCCUUACUGUUAUGACCUAUAAAAAACUCGCUCCCUG
This 7458-nucleotide unclassified non-coding RNA is filed under the name Hevea brasiliensis (rubber tree). Lineage: Eukaryota; Viridiplantae; Streptophyta; Magnoliopsida; Malpighiales; Euphorbiaceae. The record is from RNAcentral.